CAGCACCUCAAGUGGUCAGGAUGAUUAUUGGGCCUAAAGCAUCCGUAGCCGGCUCUAUAAGUUUUCGGUUAAAUCUGUACGCUCAACGUACAGGCUGCCGGGAAUACUGCAGAGCUAGGGAGUGGGAGAGGUAGACGGUACUCGGGAGGAAGGGGUAAAAUCCUUUGAUCUCUCGAUGACCACCUGUGGCGAAGGCGGUCUACCAGAACACGUCCGACGGUGAGGGAUGAAAGCUGGGGGAGCAAACCGGAUUAGAUACCCGGGUAGUCCCAGCUGUAAACUAUGCAAACUCAGUGAUGCAUUGACUUGUGGUCAAUGCAGUGCUGCAGGGAAGCCGUUAAGUUUGCCGCCUGGGAAGUACGUACGCAAGUAUGAAACUUAAAGGAAUUGGCGGGGGAGCACCACAAGGGGUGAAGCCUGCGGUUCAAUUGGAGUCAACGCCAGAAAUCUUACCCGGAGAGACAGCAGAAUGAAGGUCAAGCUGAAGACUUUACCAGACAAGCUGAGAGGUGGUGCAUGGCCGUCGCCAGCUCGUGCCGUGAGAUGUCCUGUUAAGUCAGGUAACGAGCGAGAUCCCUGCCUCUAGUUGCCACCAUUACUCUCAGGAGUAGUGGGGCGAAUUAGCGGGACCGCCGCAGUUAAUGCGGAGGAAGGAAGGGGCCACGGCAGGUCAGUAUGCCCCGAAACUCUGGGGCCACACGCGGGCUGCAAUGGUAAUGACAAUGUGUUCCAAAUCCGAAAGGAGGAGGUAAUCCCCAAACAUUACCACAGUUAUGACUGAGGGCUGCAACUCGCCCUCACGAAUAUGGAAUCCCUAGUAACUGCGUGUCAUUAUCGCGCGGUGAAUACGUCCCUGCUCCUU
This 862-nucleotide ribosomal RNA is filed under the name uncultured organism. RNAcentral describes it as "bacterial SSU rRNA". It matches the Rfam family "Archaeal small subunit ribosomal RNA", at positions 477 to 1338 of the family's 1478-position model. The record is from RNAcentral.